RNAcentral lists this ribosomal RNA (426 nucleotides) under uncultured bacterium. Its description in RNAcentral is "bacterial SSU rRNA". It matches the Rfam family "Bacterial small subunit ribosomal RNA", at positions 354 to 796 of the family's 1533-position model. The record is from RNAcentral.
GUGAGGAAUUUUCCGCAAUGGGCGAAAGCCUGACGGAGCAAUGCCGCGUGAAGGAUGAAGGCCUAUGGGUUGUAAACUUCUUUUCUCAGAAAAGAAUUAUGACGGUAUCUGAGGAAUAAGCAUUGGCUAACUCUGUGCCAGCAGCCGCGGUAAGACAGAGGAUGCAAGCGUUAUCCGGAAUGAUUGGGCGUAAAGCGUCUGUAGGUUGUUUAAAAAGUAUUCUGUCAAAGAUUAGGGCUUAACCCUAGAUAGGCAGAAUAAACUUUUAAGCUAGAGUUUGGUAGAGGCAGAGGGAAUUCCCGGUGGAGCGGUGAAAUGCGUAGAUAUCGGGAGGAACACCAAAGGCGAAGGCACUCUGCUGGGCCAAUACUAACACUGAGAGACGAAAGCGAGGGGAGCAAAUGGGAUUAGAAACCCCGGUAGUCC